AGGGUCCGGCCAGCUGUGUGUCCUUCUCGAGGACUGGAGACUUCAGAUGAACAGGUGAUGCUGUGGAGGACUAACUUUGACAGCGUGGAUUACAGUGAGGUGCUGCAGCAGAAUGAGGCUUCGGGAUGAGACGGCUUCGGUUCACAGCCGGCCGUCAGCACAGAUGUUCACUGAUGGACUGGAGUGCUGUGGAUUGCUUGUGGAUUAUUGUGAUGUUUUUAUCAGCUGUUUGGACUCUCAUUCUGACGGCACCCAUUCACUGCAGAGCAUCCAUUGCUGAGACACUGAUGCAGUGCUACAUUUCUACAAACCUGAUGAAGAAACAAACUCAUCCUGUUCUGUGGUGGACUGAGGGUGAGCACAUUUUCAGC
Cyprinus carpio carpio is the source of this 371-nucleotide long non-coding RNA. The record is from Ensembl. NCBI's taxonomy places the organism in Eukaryota, Metazoa, Chordata, Actinopteri, Cypriniformes, Cyprinidae.